AAGAAAUAUUAUAAAAAAAAGCUUCUAACUUUUUAUAAAGCAUUACAUGUUUAU
This 54-nucleotide transfer RNA is filed under the name Cautires sp. UPOL A00105. RNAcentral's name for it is "partial tRNA-Ser". The record is from RNAcentral. Lineage: Eukaryota; Metazoa; Arthropoda; Insecta; Coleoptera; Lycidae.